This 791-nucleotide ribosomal RNA is filed under the name uncultured bacterium. RNAcentral describes it as "bacterial SSU rRNA". It matches the Rfam family "Bacterial small subunit ribosomal RNA", at positions 8 to 796 of the family's 1533-position model. The record is from RNAcentral.
AGAGUUUGAUCAUGGCUCAGAUUGAACGCUGGCGGCAUGCCUUACACAUGCAAGUCGAACGGUAACAGGUCUUCGGAUGCUGACGAGUGGCGAACGGGUGAGUAAUACAUCGGAACGUGCCCAGUAAUGGGGGAUAGCUCGGCGAAAGCCGGAUUAAUACCGCAUACGCCCUGAGGGGGAAAGUGGGGGACCGCAAGGCCUCACGUUAUUGGAGCGGCCGAUGGCUGAUUAGCUAGUUGGUAGGGUAAUGGCCUACCAAGGCGACGACGGGUAGCCGGCCUGAGAGGGUGACCGGCCACACUGGGACUGAGACACGGCCCAGACUCCUACGGGAGGCAGCAGUGGGGAAUUUUGGACAAUGGGGGAAACCCUGAUCCAGCAAUGCCGCGUGUGCGAAGAAGGCCUUCGGGUUGUAAAGCACUUUUGUCAGGGAAGAAAUCCUUUGGGCUAAUACCCUAGGGGGAUGACGGUACCUGAAGAAUAAGCACCGGCUAACUACGUGCCAGCAGCCGCGGUAAUACGUAGGGUGCAAGCGUUAAUCGGAAUUACUGGGCGUAAAGCGUGCGCAGGCGGUUGUGUAAGACAGGUGUGAAAUCCCCGGGCUUAACCUGGGAAUUGCAUUUGUGACUGCACGACUAGAGUGUGUCAGAGGGGGGUGGAAUUCCACGUGUAGCAGUGAAAUGCGUAGAUAUGUGGAGGAACACCAAUGGCGAAGGCAGCCCCCUGGGAUAACACUGACGCUCAUGCACGAAAGCGUGGGGAGCAAACAGGAUUAGAUACCCCGGUAGUCC